GUUGGUUAGAAUACCGGCCUGUCACGCCGGGGGUCGCGGGUUCGAGUCCCGUCCGCUCCG
RNAcentral lists this transfer RNA (60 nucleotides) under Photobacterium proteolyticum. It matches the Rfam family "tRNA", at positions 15 to 71 of the family's 71-position model. From Rfam's summary of the family: Transfer RNA (tRNA) molecules are approximately 80 nucleotides in length. The record is from Rfam by way of RNAcentral. Lineage: Bacteria; Pseudomonadati; Pseudomonadota; Gammaproteobacteria; Vibrionales; Vibrionaceae.